Molecule: ribosomal RNA, 252 nt
Filed under: uncultured bacterium
Lineage: Bacteria
Description: partial 16S ribosomal RNA
Rfam family: Bacterial small subunit ribosomal RNA
Source: RNAcentral
UACGAAGGGGGCUAGCGUUGCUCGGAAUCACUGGGCGUAAAGGGUGCGUAGGCGGGUCUUAAGUCAGGGGUGAAAUCCUGGAGCUCAACUCCAGAACUGCCUUUGAUACUGGGGAUCUUGAGUCCGGGAGAGGUGAGUGGAACUGCGAGUGUAGAGGUGAAAUUCGUAGAUAUUCGCAAGAACACCAGUGGCGAAGGCGGCUCACUGGCCCGGUACUGACGCUGAGGUGCGAAAGCGUGGGGAGCAAACAGG